CUACGGGUUGCUCCAGUGAGGAAUAUUGGUCAAUGGGCGCAAGCCUGAACCAGCCACUCCGCGUGUAGGAUGACUGCCCUAUGGGUUGUAAACUACUUUUAUACAGGAAGAAACCUCCAUACGUGUAUGGAGCUGACUGUACUGUAAGAAUAAGCAUCGGCUAACUCCGUGCCAGCAGCCGCGGUAAUACGGAGGAUGCAAGCGUUAUCCGGAUUUAUUAGGUCUAAAGGGUGCGUAGGCGGAUAUUUAAGUCAGUGGUGAAAUCCUACAGCUUAACUGUAGAACUGCCAUUGAUACUGGAUAUCUUGAGUUUAGUUGAGGUAAGCGGAAUGUGUAGUGUAGCGGUGAAAUGCUUAGAUAUUACACAGAACACCGAUUGCGAAGGCAGCUUACUAAGCUAACACUGACGCUGAGGCACGAAAGCGUGGGGAGCGAACAGGAUUAGAUACCCUUGUAGUC
RNAcentral lists this ribosomal RNA (459 nucleotides) under uncultured bacterium. RNAcentral's name for it is "partial 16S ribosomal RNA". It matches the Rfam family "Bacterial small subunit ribosomal RNA", at positions 339 to 795 of the family's 1533-position model. The record is from RNAcentral.